RNAcentral lists this long non-coding RNA (768 nucleotides) under Equus caballus (horse). Its description in RNAcentral is "lncRNA (ENSECAG00000035303.3)". Lineage: Eukaryota; Metazoa; Chordata; Mammalia; Perissodactyla; Equidae. The record is from RNAcentral.
UGGGUGGAUCAAGGUGGUGAUCUCUUUUCGUCCUGUAGCAAAGUAGACUUGUGGGUGUGGUCUGCCUUCACUGAGAUGGAAAUAAGAAAUUACAACUAGAGACCAUCAGAUCUGUAAGGCCUGGAGAGCCACGCAGAAGGAUGCAGACUGGUCAUCGGGCAGGAGUAUUGGUGCACAGAUGGCCAGUAUUGGAGGCUGAGACUUGAGAGAUGUCAAACAUCUGAGUGGGAUGGGAAAAAAUGAAGCUGAGAGUGUUGCAAUGAACUUCCCAAGGUCAUUCAUCUGAUUAUUUUAGAAACAUCCUAUUGAAGUCCAUAAAAAUCCUUUUGAAAUUUGCAUUGAGAUUGACUUGAUGUGUAUUGGGGACCGUGCUAGGCACCAGAGAAACAAUGAUGAGCAAGAUAGGCAUUAUCUGUACUGAAGAGAGCUUACAGGCACUCAACAUUUCCUAUCAUUUGCUGACCACCUCAUGUGUGCCACUUGAGCCUGUUGCUAGCCGUGGAUUCAAAGGAAACAGAUGGCAAGAGAUGACUAAUGCAUAGCCUUUGACCUAGAGGAGCUCAUAAUUUACUGAUGGAGAACCCAUGGAGAACAUUCACGGCUCCUUCUCUUGAGGAGUUCAUGGUGUGAAAUAGGAAGUCAAGUGCAAUACCUGUCACAGGUAUGAGAAACUUAUCUAGAUUUAGUGUCCCAAUAAUGGCUGGAGAGUUUUUCUGACCACAUCCAAUCUUCUUUUGGGACCUGGUUAUGCUUUACGUGUCGAGUUAA